This is a non-coding RNA of Gossypium hirsutum (cotton), 80 nucleotides long. Lineage: Eukaryota; Viridiplantae; Streptophyta; Magnoliopsida; Malvales; Malvaceae. The record is from Rfam.
GAAAGUUUGGACGAGUGGUCUAAGGCGCCAGAUUUAGGCUCUGGUUCGAAAGGGCGUGGGUCCAAAUCCCACAGCUGUCA